GAGAUAGAGCUUCCCCUUCGGGGGCAAAGUGACAGGUGGUGCAUGGUUGUCGUCAGCUCGUGUCGUGAGAUGUUGGGUUAAGUCCCGCAACGAGCGCAACCCUUAUUGUUAGUUGCCAUCAUUUAGUUGGGCACUCUAGCGAGACUGCCGGUGACAAACCGGAGGAAGGUGGGGAUGACGUCAAAUCAUCAUGCCCCUUAUGACCUGGGCUACACACGUGCUACAAUGGGAAGUACAACGAGUUGCGAAGUCGCGAGGCUAAGCUAAUCUCUUAAAGCUUCUCUCAGUUCGGAUUGUAGGCUGCAACUCGCCUACAUGAAGCCGGAAUCGCUAGUAAUCGCGGAUCAGCACGCCGCGGUGAAUACGUUCCCGGGCCUUGUACACACCGCCCGUCACACCACGAGAGUUUGUAACACCCGAAGUCGGUGAGGUAACCUUUUUGGAGCCAGCCGCCUAAGGUGGGAUAGAUGAUUGGGGUGAAGUCGUAACAAGGUAGCCGUAUC
RNAcentral lists this ribosomal RNA (503 nucleotides) under Listeria monocytogenes. RNAcentral describes it as "bacterial SSU rRNA". It matches the Rfam family "Bacterial small subunit ribosomal RNA", at positions 1003 to 1506 of the family's 1533-position model. Lineage: Bacteria; Bacillati; Bacillota; Bacilli; Caryophanales; Listeriaceae. The record is from RNAcentral.